RNAcentral lists this transfer RNA (65 nucleotides) under Spilarctia subcarnea. RNAcentral's name for it is "tRNA-Thr". Lineage: Eukaryota; Metazoa; Arthropoda; Insecta; Lepidoptera; Erebidae. The record is from RNAcentral.
UUUUUUAUAGUUAAAAUAAACACAGUGCUGUGUAAAGUCAAAUGUAGGUAUUUUACCUUCAAAAG